GCAGCAUGCUGAGAACAGCAGGACUGUCACCAGGCUCUGGAAAUGAGGCAGUCAUGGACAUGGAGGGAACUGGAAGCCAUUAUCCUCAGCAAACGAACACAGGAACAGAAAACCAAACACCGCAUAUUCUCACUUAUAAGUGGGAGCUGAAUGAUGAGAAGAGCAUUUUUACAAGGGAAAGAAUGAAUUUUCAAGUUUACACAAACAGCAAAGUGAGCACCUCCAUGUUUAUAGAACAUCAAUUCUCUCUUGUGUUUCACCGUGCUGUGCAAUAAGAUUUGUAUCUGAAGAGUUAUAAUAUGAUAAAAUAAAACUGGAUAGAAGUGGGUUCUCUUUUUGACCUAAUUUGGCCUGUCCUUCAGUUACUUUGCUUCUGCUCUCAUUUCACUAUGUGGCAAUGCAUAUGUAAAAUGUCAUCAUUGGUUGGGAAAUGCAUAUUGAGAUUAAAAGAGUUGUCGCAUUUUAGAAUUGGUUGUUUAUUCUUCUGUCAGAAAAUUAGCCAGAAGUUUUCUACGAAGUAAAAAUACGUAAUUCAGUUUUUCUUCCCUUAUAAUAUUAUUAGUAGUUUACUCCAUUUUGUUACUUUCUAUGUUCAGGUGCUCUAUUUCCCACCAUAUUCCCUCACCAGCCCCCACCAGAUAAAUGUCAGAAAGAAUGAAACAUUAUGUUUUUCCUCUGUUUCAGGAAGCUACCUACUUAGAAUUCCAUGACGUUUCAGUUACACAAGGGCUUGAAUCUUCAAAAAACCUAAUACCACUAAUCAGUUUAAACUUUUUUCACUUUGCUGUUGAUUCUAAUUCAUCAACAAUAAAUUCUUUCCAUUACCCAUAAUGAUAGUUAAAACUUGUUCAUGCCCUGUUACUGCACCUAAAAGCAAACUCCUUAAACCUGCACUUCCAAGAGUAGUUAUUUGUAUUGAUUGGAUCCAUGAUAAUUAUUUUGCCUGGCUUCUCCUGUAUCAAAUAA
Molecule: long non-coding RNA, 966 nt
Organism: Homo sapiens (human)
Lineage: Eukaryota; Metazoa; Chordata; Mammalia; Primates; Hominidae
Source: Ensembl